This is a long non-coding RNA of Homalodisca vitripennis (glassy-winged sharpshooter), 670 nucleotides long. RefSeq lists it as uncharacterized. The record is from RefSeq and is a predicted model, not a curated record. The transcript is spliced from 2 exons. Lineage: Eukaryota; Metazoa; Arthropoda; Insecta; Hemiptera; Cicadellidae.
UAAUCGGGUCAGCACUUCUCCUGCUGUGGAAACUAGUCACCACAAUACAUGACCGCAGAGAGUUCAUCUGUGUUACUGUUGUUCCUUGUGAGCAGGUAUUGUGCUGAGUGUGAUCGGAGCUAUUGUGCUAAUCGGGUCAGCACUUCUCCUGCUGUGGAAGCUAGUCACCACAAUACAUGACCGCAGAGAGUUCAUCAAGUUCGAGAAGGAACGUGCAAUGGCUAAAUGGGACACGGGAGAAAACCCGAUUUACAAACAGGCAAUAUCGACUUUCCAGAAUCCUAUGUACAGUGAGAGUGAUCUCUAAUAGACUUACCCGAAGGCAUUACUCUAAAUUCGGUGCCUUACUUCCAUCAAUUCCUUCAAGAAAAACGUUUUCCAUUACUCUGUCUUCGUUUUCUAGCAGUGAUUUAAAUUGUUCUUUACUAGUUUGUGAAAAAAGUGUUGUUUUAAUUUUAUGCUGUGCUAAAUAGUUUGAACUGGGUAGCUAUAUAUUUUUUAUAUAAUAUAAAUAAAUGAUGGGAAUGAACAACUACUACAAUGCAUUAAAAAUAGUUUAAUAAACUGCUGUCAUUCAAAUGAAUGUUUCUAAAUGUAACAUUACUUAAUUAUUCUAUUUUUCAAUAAACGUUAAAUUAUUAAAGCUACCAUGCUAAAAGUUAUAAAACCA